UUGACUAGAAGGAUUUACGGUAACUCACAUAACUGAAGGGAAUUUUUGAAAAAAUCAACAAACAAAAAGCAAAAAUAAGCUUUGGAAGACACAAUAGAGCACAGUGUAUAGUUAUUAUUACUGCCGUUCACCAAAUAUUGUCGGCUCUUCUCUGGCACACAGAAGGGAUGUAUCUUCUUGGCCCCUUAAAGUCAAAUGUGACUUUGUGAGCCUUUGGCAAAUGAAACUUGAGCAAAAAUGAGGCUGUCUCUUCCAGACAAACCUUUGGCAAACAGUAGGAGUGUGUUUUUCCUGCCUGGCAGUUGUGCAAGAAGUUGGAUCGAGCAUCUUUUAGCUGCCAUCUACUCAAUCCUCCAGACUGAGCAAGGAUAAUACAGAGCCAGCUCCUGAUGACAUGGAGCAUGUUCGAGAAAUAAACCUUGGUUAUUUUUAGCUGAGACUUAGGAGUUUGUUGUGAAUACAGCACAACAUGGACUAUCUGACUGAUGAAAACAUAUGUAGGGGAGGAAGACAUUUCCUCUUCCCAAAUGUGGGUUCGUCUGGCUGGAGAACGAAUUAAAUUCACAUGAGACAGAAAAGCAAGAGAAAAUUAAACAAAGCUUUAUGAGGAACCGUGGCCCGGUGCCUUUCUUCCCGAAGGAAGAAAGGGCACCAAAGAAGUGGGGUGCACAUAGUGGUUAUAUACCGCCAAAUGGGGUGUUUCACAUGUGAUUGAAAUGUCCCUCCCACAAUAGUCACAAGAUUGCCCUGUCGGCACUUGAUGGACACAGCAGGUAGUGGGUCUGCUAUCUCAGUGGGCAUAGCAGGACUCAAGUCGAUUGUCUGGAGCUGGGCGGUCACAGGUGAGCUCAGCAAUCAGUUCCUAGCCUAAGGAAAGAUGCUUAAUCCUUAAGAAAUGCCAACGUUGGGAGGGGGAGGAAAGUCAGUUACAGGAGGUUACCAGACUAGCACAAUAAAAUGCAGAUUUAAGUCCUUGCCUUUGGUAUUGAUUAAGAGUUUUUAGAGAGAAGGUCAUCUCCUUUCUUCUUCCUGGUACAGGGAGGGAGGCAACUUUUACAGAUAGAGAUUUACCUUACAAAUGUAAAUGUGCCCUAACAAAGGGCAAGUUCCAUUCCUCCUUCCCUGUCCCAGUUUCUCAAAAGCAAUCAGCCUCAAAUAAUCCUGAUGCCAAAGAGACAUAUCUUGGGGUGGCCAUUUCCAGGUCCCCACACAUACAUAUUACCAAUUUCCUGUGCUGUUGACCAAAAUGAUGCGGGUGAGCCAAUAUUAGAAUUCCUUUUCACAAAGGUGGAUAAGUGACAGAUUAGAAGUCUACACUGUCCCAGGAGUGUAGACAGAUACCAUGCUUAUAUAUAGCAAAAAUAUUUCCUCAUUUUGUCCUUUACCUGUCAAUAAAAAAGCAUAUCUAUAGAAAUCUGGAGGUAAAGCUCCAGACAAAACCAACAUGGUGACAAGGAGGAACAUUACAUACUUGUAAAAGGAGCGACAGAUGAGAAAAUAAUAAUAAUGGCUGGGAACUUAUAGAACCUUGCAUUGAAAGGGAUCUCAUAUGGAACUCAGGAAAUAUUUAUAGCUGAAAGCACUACAUGACAAAAUCUGGUGGAUGGAAUUAAACAAUACUUAGAAGAAAGAUACCUUCAACAUACGUAUCUAAAAAGAAAAAUUAGAAACCAAUGAGCUACUUGUUCAAGAAGCUAGACAAAGAGCAAGACAGUAAAGUCAGGAAGAAAGGAAAUGAGAAAGAGAAAUGCCAAACCUUUGUUUCUAUUUAUUUGCUCUUUAUUUAUUGCUAUGGACUGAAUUCUCUCUCCCCACCAUUCAUAUAUGGAAGCCCUGACCCCCCCUUGUGACCAUGUCCAGACACAAGGUCUUUAGGAAGUAAUUAUGGUGAAAAUGAAGUCAUAAUGGUGGAACCUAAAUCAGAUAGGACUGCGGCCUCAUCAGAAGUGGAAGAGAUCUCUCUUUCUGUUUCUUCACACGCAUACACACACCCCACCAUCUGAGGACUCAGUGAGAAGGGGACCUUAUGCAAGCUGAGGAGAGAGCCCUCGCCAGAACCUGACCAUGCUGGCAUCCUGAUCUCAGGCUUCCAGCCCCCAGAAUGCGUCAGGGCAGAGCCAAGAGGAGAAGAAAAGGUGGAACAUCAAGUGGUUGGAGAAACUACCAGAGGGAAACAGAGGAGAAAAGGAGGCUAAUUUCUAUUCUGAAAAGGCUCAGGGAAGAAUAGAAGCAGAGGCUGGAGAAAAGGCUGUGGAUGCUGGACAAUCCUGAUGAGAGGGAAAAGCAGGCAGACACCGUGGGCUGAGAGCCUGCUGCCUCACCGCUUCAAAGAUCACAAGCCACCAAGGGCACUCUUCUAGGAGAAAAAACUAACGCUCAAGUUAUGUCGUCUUACCAAGCAGGACACUCUGUAUUUGCUGUCCCAUCUGUGAGGGGAUUUGCAUGGAAACCUCCCCCAGUGCUAAUGGGAGUCGUUCUCCAACGCAGUCCUCUCUGCAUAGAGGACGGGACGGCUGCCACGGGGAUAUGAAGCUCGGGUCAUUUAAUAAAAAAAGCUCUUGGAAUUAGCACUCCCCAGGUUUCAGAGAUCCAUGUAGUGUAAUUUACUUCCACAUUUUCCUCUCAAUCUGAAGUCUGAAUGUGUUAUCUAAGCUUAGAUACAAGGUUAUCCAAGCAGUGACCUUGGUGGGAAUCUGGCUUCCCUGGGUCUUCUGGAAAAAUGGUCAUCCAAUCUUUUCUUCCUGUCCCCCCUUUAUAAGAAUACAGAAAAGCAACUACUUACAGAAAUAAAGCAAUUAUUAUAAAAAAGAAGAAUUUAUUAACAAUAUGGCUUGAAAAUGAACUGAACUAAAUUUUUCCCUCUUCGUAUGAAUUGGAUUUUUUCCUGUAAACAUGUUUAAUUAGAAACACGCAGUGAGA
Equus asinus (donkey) is the source of this 2919-nucleotide long non-coding RNA. Lineage: Eukaryota; Metazoa; Chordata; Mammalia; Perissodactyla; Equidae. The record is from Ensembl.